GUCCCUCUUAGAACAGCACAUACACUAAAAUUGGAAUGAGACAGAGAUUAACAUGGCCUGUGCGCAAGGAUGACACGCAAAUUUGUGAAGCGGUCCAUAAAAAA
Molecule: small nuclear RNA, 104 nt
Filed under: Propithecus coquereli (Coquerel's sifaka)
Lineage: Eukaryota; Metazoa; Chordata; Mammalia; Primates; Indriidae
Source: RNAcentral